Molecule: long non-coding RNA, 1308 nt
Filed under: Homo sapiens (human)
Lineage: Eukaryota; Metazoa; Chordata; Mammalia; Primates; Hominidae
Description: HSALNT0125833
Source: RNAcentral
ACAGGCUCAUAGGCAGAAGAGACUUGCCUUGUUUCAGAUGAGACUUUGGAUUGCAGACUUUUGAGGCCUGGCAGCUGUGGCGACUGAAUCUAAGAAGAAAGGCUGAUAAUGCUCUGGCUGGUUUCAUAAUAGGACUUUUCAAGGCACUGUCCCAUCCAUUAACUCAUUUGAAAUGAAAGAUGAAGAAACCGAGCCACACAGAGGUUAAAUAACUUGCCCAAGGGUGCACAACUACUAGUAGUAUUGAGUCUAUACGCUUAAGUAUUGUGCUAUUCCAUUUCUUACUGAAUACAAAGCAAAAAAACAUAAGGAUCAGAGGAGGAGUGUGAGUGUCCUCAUACUCACAGCAAAAGGAGGGAAUUCAGGAGAGGAUUGAAGAAGCGGUUCCUGUUUUUGAGGCAUUUGCAAUCAUUGCUGGAGAGACAGAACCAACAGAUGGGGAACAAUGGUCAGGGACUCCAGGCCUGAUUUAAGCCAAUGCCGCCCUGUGGUCUUUACCCACGAAUGGUGUGGAAAAUGAGAGCAGGGAAGAGGAUUUACUCACUGGCUGUGGAGUUAGGUCAGAAGGGGGAUGGAAAGAAGGAACCGGAUGGCUUUGGGGACAUUUCUUAAUCUUUAGGCUUCACCUUCCUUAACUGAAAAUAAAGCCAUAAGUUACCUCCAGAACUCUUUCAGCCUUAACAUUCAAUGAAUCUCGAUCUUUUCUGUAAAGCUAGAUUUUUAUGUGUGGUAUUUGCUAAAAGUUGGGGCGCACCCUUACUUGAUCUGGCCCAGACUAUAGAUCACAUGAAGAUCACAUUAAAUCAGGUCGAAAGACUUUUCUGACUUCAAAUUAGCGAAUAUGCAUAUGUGCUGAACUUUAGUCUUUUCCUUUUCUUGAACAUUCAGUUUAAUAAUUGUCUCUGCCAUUUUACACAUUUAUUUUUCUUGGCUAUUUAUAUUUUCCUUUUGGGGAGGUCAAAUAUAAAAAUAGGAUAUACAUGGACUGUAGCAGUUGAUAAUAACUUGUGUGCUUUGAUUUUUUAAAGAACCAAAAUUUACCAAAAGGGAUCUUGCUCACUUAUCAAUUUGUUUUUUUUAUAUCUCUGUUUUUGUACAUAUCUUUUAAGUUAUUCCAGACCCUGACAACUGGACACCUGGUUAUGAUUGCAGAAUGUGCAGUUUAAAAUCCUAUUUUAAAACUUAGUUUUUGUUUUUCUUUUUGAGACAGGGUCUCAUUCUGUCAUCCAGGCUGGAGUGCAGUGGUGCAAUCACGGCUCACUGCAGCCUUAACCUCCUGGGCUCAAGCAAUCCUUCUACCUCAGCCUC